CAACUUCCACCUGGCAUACCUCUUCAAUUAUGCGUGAAGGGUUCUAUCUCCUUGAGCGUAUUGUGGGUUUCCUGUGUUGAAUACCAAUUUGAUGGGUAUUAUUUUGGCUAAUUGAAGUCCCUUUUCAUCUUUGGUUGCCUUUGUAAUUCAAGAUGAACCAUGAAGUGUUCUUUAUGUUCCACURUGUUGAUGCAAAUGCAUUGAUGUUGUGGCCCAUUGAGCGMUACUAGGUGUCCUGGAUAUGGAACAUUAUGUGGGCAUGGGGUCUUUCAUGGCUUUUGUUUUGUCCUUGUUUGGUGUUCUUCGAAAUGACAGUUCAUGCGUGCCUAGGCUCGUACCUGCACGAUGAUCUUUGUCAAAAUGGAAUGCUACCUGGUUGAUCCUGCCAGU
Molecule: unclassified non-coding RNA, 390 nt
Filed under: Ekmaniopappus mikanioides
Lineage: Eukaryota; Viridiplantae; Streptophyta; Magnoliopsida; Asterales; Asteraceae
Description: partial contains external transcribed spacer and 18S ribosomal RNA
Source: RNAcentral